This is a non-coding RNA of Paramormyrops kingsleyae, 738 nucleotides long. Lineage: Eukaryota; Metazoa; Chordata; Actinopteri; Osteoglossiformes; Mormyridae. The record is from RefSeq and is a predicted model, not a curated record.
CAUUAGCGUAGCAGCAGGAAGAACAUCUGCGAGUGAGACUUUGAGGGAGGACGGGUGAGUGCGGAGGACUGACCAGGAGGUCCGUACAGCAGCAGGCCCUUCCAGGGAGACAGGAUACCAGUAAACAGCUGGGGAUACUGGGAGGGGAAAAAAAAAAUCACACCUACCAUUACAGAACGUUGGCAUCAGCAGAUAGAAGCAACCUAACUGUUAAGCUUUCAGUCUUGAUUUCCCUCAGUAUCCCAGACUCACACCUAGAGUCACAUUAUUGCCAAAAUCUAAACAAAUAAUAUUCUCCACCAUGUCCCAAAGGUAGUGGAGGGAGACAGCAAUAUCUGGCCUGCUCUGCUGGUUCAAAACAAGCUUAAACGAAUCCUCCGUUUUCUGUGUCAGCUUCCAGAAGCAGAUUUAUCGUCAUCAACGUACGAACAAAAGAUGAAAGGAGGACGCUGCUGUGGACUCACGCUGGCAGAUUUACCGCCAUCCUUCACCGACACCUUGGAGUCUGUCUUCUUAGUCCUUGAGGGGGCACCAUGCAGCGAGUUUAGCCUGGGCAGGAUCUGGGAUGCUGAACCCGGGGUUCUGGACGGAGAGAAAAGCAGCAGUCAAUCAUACAUGUUUCAAACCAUGGAUGAAUGCUGGACUUGCUAUGUGAAGACGAGGUUGAGAAGGAGGUCUCAAAACACCCCAGAUUCGGUCAGGAAUGUGUUGGCCUCCAGGAGCAAUGCCUUCACAUAG